This 301-nucleotide ribosomal RNA is filed under the name uncultured bacterium. RNAcentral's name for it is "partial 16S ribosomal RNA". It matches the Rfam family "Bacterial small subunit ribosomal RNA", at positions 509 to 807 of the family's 1533-position model. The record is from RNAcentral.
CAGUAGCCACGGUAAUACGUAGGGUGCAAGCGUUAAUCGGAAUUACUGGGCGUAAAGCGUGCGCAGUCGGUUAUAUAAGACAGAUGUGAAAUCCCCGGGCUCAACCUGGGAACUGCAUUUGUGACUGUAUAGCUAGAGUACGGCAGAGGGGGAUGGAAUUCCGCGUGUAGCAGUGAAAUGCGUAGAUAUGCGGAGGAACACCGAUGGCGAAGGCAAUCCCCUGGGCCUGUACUGACGCUCAUGCACGAAAGCGUGGGGAGCAAACAGGAUUAGAUACCCCGGUAGUCCCUGUCUCUUAUAC